AUGGACAAAGAAGUGUAUAAGUACUAACUCAGAGUGUUGAUUGUCUGGUGCCCAAGUAAAUAUCUUGGAUGUAAAGAUUGCAUAAGCACAGCACUUGGAACUGAUGUUCAACAGACAAGGAACACGACGUAAGAUAGCUUCUGAAAUCCCAAUUUUGCUAUGUUACUCUUGUCUUGAUGUAGCUUAUGAAACUGUAAUUUUCUCGGCUUAUUAUUUGAGAGAUGAUAAAGUCUUCCUUCUCAUCUUCAUCUUUCCCAAAGACCCAAGAUGGAAGAGAUGUUUAAAUUCACCUGAGACUUAAGUACUGGGGAGAGUGAUAUAACUGUAUGAUUCCAUGUGAACUACAUUGAUUUUUAUCUUGGCUAUGAAAACCAAAAGGUAGUUUUCACAAUUGGGAAUUCUGGGUUAAUCCAUAUCUUGUGUAGGUUCGUAUUCAGGUUUUAAUUUCUUCUGUUUUCUUUCUCUUUUGGCCGUGGGUAUUUUUUCAUCAAAUUCUUUUUGUGUUCAGUUUUUCUUGGACAUAUUUUUCUGUCUAAUCCUUUCCCAAUACGCCAUUUCUUUCCCAAGUCGUCUGCUUCUUCCAACCUCUGUCCUUAGCCCCUCCAAUUUUUCAGUUUCACAUCUUUCUUUCAAUUCUACUUUUUCUUCUUCCUUUUCUUCCUUCCCUCUCCCUUUCUGCUUUCCAUUCACAAGAACCUCUGAGUCCUUCAGUUCUUACCUUCAGGACAAACUACCGCUUCUCCUCUGUGAUGCCUGGGAGCGAAUCGCCCUCCUCACUUCUCUUGCCUGGUGCUGCAGUGCCUUGGAGCUGCCGCAAGGAAUAAUUGCAGGAGAAAUCUGUGAUAACCCCUGCAGUCCUGGGAGGACGCGUGUUCGAUGAGGCUGUGCAGAGGCUUAUGGACAUGGUGAAGUUUAAUUUGGUUUUAUUGGAGGUGGAAGAAGGAUGUGCCCUGAAAUUGGUGUGAUCGGCACUGUUCCCCUGGCAGAUAUCAGAUUCCUUUGGAAGCUCCGUGAAUGCUGGAACUUCUCAGCAGAACAAAAAGAAAUUUCAUUUAUUGUUAGCGGACAGUUUUCUCUUCCUUUAAACGGAUGAAAUGAAUUUGGCUUAGGCCCUCAGAAAAGUUGGAGAUGAAGUGUAACAUCUUUAAAUCUUUUCUUUCUCUUGCUUCUGACAGUCUGUAGCUUGAGGCUGUGUGGAGUGGGAAAUGGAUGGAAAGCAAUCUUCCUUUGUGGAGAGGAUAACACAAGGCUUUUGUACAGGUGGUGGAACAGUAAGGAGAAAACUUUUUUUUCCUAAAAGCUUUCAGUGUAAGGCUGAUCUGUAAGUUGGAAGAAGAAUAUGGGGAAGUUAUUCACAACUAUUCACAAAACAAGUUUUAUGGUGAGUUUGGGUUUGUGUGUGCGCGAUGGUUAAUUAUGCAGAGGAUGACCAAACUGAAACAGAGGCAUUGCCAAGCCACGCUACCUUAGCUGCUGAGUGUUUAGAUUUUCUGGUGUGUAGUCAUCUUACUGUUGGCUGUCAUCCAAGGUAUUGCUGCACAGGUCGUUUGCGAGCAGAGGUUCGUUUUCUCUGCCUGCAUUUUCAGCUAGUUACAGGUCUAAUCAGGUGUGCGAGAACUUGGCACGCAAGGAUCUCUUUAUAAUUGAGGAGAAACAGGUUCUCUUAGGAUUUGAUUCGGACCGAUUCAGAUGUCAGCUUUAUGAUGGUGGGAAUUACCUUGUAGAAGUGCCUCUUUCACUGCACAUGACCUUCUGGGGCUCGAGGUUAAGUGUGGAUGUCUUCUUGUGUAAAUACCUUAAGUAAGGAAGGUGAUCUGGACCUGAAGCAUA
Molecule: long non-coding RNA, 1830 nt
Organism: Oxyura jamaicensis (ruddy duck)
Lineage: Eukaryota; Metazoa; Chordata; Aves; Anseriformes; Anatidae
Exons: 2
Source: RefSeq, a predicted model, not a curated record